Molecule: long non-coding RNA, 754 nt
Organism: Mobula hypostoma (lesser devil ray)
Lineage: Eukaryota; Metazoa; Chordata; Chondrichthyes; Myliobatiformes; Myliobatidae
Exons: 3
Source: RefSeq, a predicted model, not a curated record
ACAGCUCGGGCCUUUCCCGGGAUCAAAGGUCAACUCUGGUGCUGCCAGUGAGGAGCUUGUACGUCCUCCCCACAAAGUGCGUGGGUCUCCUCCGGAUGCUCCGGUUUCCUCCCACACUCCAAAGACGUAACGGCUGUUUCAAGUUGAUGGGGUGAUUAAGAAGGCAUAUGGUGUGUCGACCUUCAUUAGUCGGGGAAAUAAGAUCAAUGCAAUGAGGCCAUGCUUUCUUCUCGUCUACCAUUGGGCAGGAGGUACAGAAGCCUGAAGUCCCACUCCACAAGAACAGCUGCAUUCCUACAAUCACCAGGUCCCUGAAUCAACCUGCACAACCCUAAUCUCUACGGUUUAAGUAACUCUGUGAUCCACACGUACAUCCACAUACUCAUAAGGACUUUCUACAUGGACACAAUUGAGAGCAUCCUCGCUGCCUGGUAUGGGAACUGUACUUCCCUCAAUCGCAGGACUCUGCAGAGAGUGGUGCGGACAGCCCAGCGCAUCUGUAGAUGUGAACUUCCCAGAGACAGGUGCAUAAAAAGGGCCCGAAGGACCACUGGGGACCCGAGUCACCCCAACCACAAACUGUUCCAUCUGCUACCAUCCGGGAAACAAUACCGCAGCAGAAAAGCCAGGACCAACAGUCUCCGGGACAGCUUCUUCCACCAGGCCAUCAGACUGAUUAAUUCACACUGACACAACUGUAUUUCUAAGCUAUAUUGACUGUCCUGUUGUACAUACGAUUUAUUACAAAUUACUA